This 1749-nucleotide long non-coding RNA is filed under the name Cricetulus griseus (Chinese hamster). Its description in RNAcentral is "lncRNA (ENSCGRG00000025132.1)". The record is from RNAcentral. Lineage: Eukaryota; Metazoa; Chordata; Mammalia; Rodentia; Cricetidae.
GCCUGACCACCAGGCUGUUCUGUUUCAGCAGUCUGAUUCCUGUAUGAUGAUCACAAACAUCCCAUUGCAGUUCACUGUUGGGGGCUUCAAGAUGAUUUUCCAACAAGCUUUCCAGUGUAAUAUCCAUGUGUAAACGAGAACCAGUUAUUUUAUGCUGUCUGCCUGCCAGUGGGGAUACUGCCAGUCUGGUCAGGCUGAAGGAGAGAGCAGAGCAGUGGUUGUACCUGAUCAAGCGCACUAGGACAGGUCACCUGGUACCCACAGCACCUCACUGGACUCUUUGGGUGGAAAUUAACAAAGAGAAUGAUCAACUGAACCUUACUGAAGGAAUCAAGACGGACAGAAGGAAGCCUUCUGGGGUAACCAUGUGUCCCAAUUCUCUCAACAAGAAACGGCAAUCUCUCCAGAGUCAGAUGUCAAAGCUUCAGAACACAAAAGAUGGAAGACAUGGUAGGCACACAGGACUGCCCAGACUUUGUUGUCUACUCUGAUUUUCGGACAAUGGGUGUCAUGACUUUCUCCACAAACCAAAGGCUCCCUGGCCUGAACUUCUUGUUCCUAUGACAGUGUAAUAGUUUCUUACCAACUGCCUUCAGUCAGCUCCAGGAUGAGCAGCCUCACUGAAGGCCUGAACUAGCAGGGAGGACCAUCAAGUUCAUCUCAGUGUCACCAUGCUUAGAUGAGAUGCCAGUCUGAAAACUUGGUGACUGGAUCCGUAUCACAAACCAAAUCUCUAACUUGGAAGACUAAGCAGCCAUUGAUUGGCUUAUUGCUUAUUAUCUGGAGUCCCUAACUUCCUUCUUUUUUUUAACAAACAAAAUAAAUAUUCAAAAGUUAUUUGCAAAGUAUGCAUUAUGCAAAUCCAGUGGCUGUGUUUCAAGAAGUAUAUUUAAGAAGCAGAAUAAGCCCUUCAAUUGGCAGUGCUUCUAGGUACAGUACUGUUAGCUUUGCUGGAAGAUCCAAAUGCUAUCAUUGUUCAAAUGCUGUGCCGUCAGGCUUGCAUAUUAACUGAAAGGAAUGUGAACAGAUGAUAUAGGAGCAUAGGAAGCAUGUCUUCAUAGAAUAUUUGCCAUCGCAACGGAGCUCACUAAUGACCCAGCUACAACCCUAAUUCACCUUAAUCCUAAUUCACCUUAACUCUAACCCUAACCCACCUUAACUCUAGGCCACCCUACUCCUGGUCCCUCUGUUUCCUUCCAGCUGACACUCAGCCAUGGGGCCAUUGUUCCGUAUUUUUUCCCUUACAGCAGCAUUGAUUUCUAGGUCCUAGUUCUCAGAACUUCUCACAUUGCUAGCUGAUUGGCUAGAUGACUGGCUCCAUCCUUGGUGGUUUAAGACAAUUUCAUUUCUUGUCUGUGAAGAAUACACCCAUGAGGAGAGAGACAGUUGAAGGGAAAGGACCAAAAUUCAGUGUCUAUAAACUAGAAAUGAGAUGAUUUAUGUAUUCACAUCAGGACACCUAUUUUGAAUAUCAUUAACAUUUUAACGCCAUCGUACAACUACAUGCAUCAACUCAACAAUCACUCAACAGCGAUCUGAUUGGAUUUUCUCUUACUAGAGCACUGUACUAGAAGCCCUUGGGGGAUCUGGGGAUAUGCAAGGAAGAAAAUGAUAGUUCCCCUCUUGCUCUGAGUCUUAUGAAAUGCCAGGCUUAGUUCCAGUGUUGGUUUGAGAGGGUCAGCUGGAGCUGGCCUCUGAUGACCAUUGUCUUGAGUAGCUGCUGACCCUGCUGUAGAGCAAGCUGAUGCC